RNAcentral lists this long non-coding RNA (809 nucleotides) under Phascolarctos cinereus (koala). Its description in RNAcentral is "lncRNA (ENSPCIG00000031668.1)". Lineage: Eukaryota; Metazoa; Chordata; Mammalia; Diprotodontia; Phascolarctidae. The record is from RNAcentral.
UGGUAAGACUUGGUCUAGACUUCAAAAACAAUCUCUGCUCUUCUGAUAGGGCAGACCAUAUUUACUCUGGCUGGGAAGUCACAGACCUAUCCCUGCCUGCUGAAUAUUGCACUUUAAAGCCUUAUAUAAAUGUUAGCUAUUACUAUUUUUUUUCUUUUUCUUCCCAGGAGCUAUCGAGGCCAAAUGUGACUGCCAGGAAGGAGCUGGGAGCAGCCAAAGAGGCUGAGCAUGUCAGACUUCUCUCCUAGCCUGCCACACACACUUAAAACCCAAAGGAAAUAAGCAGGGAUCAGUGGGAGGAAGGGAGCCAACCAGGAGUACCAGGGGGUCAUCUGUGAGAAUCUCAUUGUUUUCACCUCAUCAUUUUCACUGUGUACCUGUCAAAUGCUUUUUGAGGAAGAAAUUUGGGGAAUAGACUGUUGCAGAAACACCAAACCAAUAAAUCUCAAAUUCCAUACAGACACAAAUGAAAAUUGUUGGAAAUCUACACUCACCACAAAUACAAUUGAGUGUUUAUUGAACUUGCAUAUUGUGAAAGCCUCAGAAUUUCCUUCAGCCUAUUCCAGCAGUUUUUUCCUGCUUGGACUAGGAGUCAGCUGAUAGAGGAGGUAAUUAUUAUUCUAGGAAGACAGAAACUAAAGGUCUGAUUGGUUUCUUUGCCUCUAUUAUCUCCUUUUCUCCAGUCUAUCCUUCACACAGCUGCCAAAAUAAUCUUCCUAAGCUAUAAACCUAUCCCUUUUUAAAAACUUCUAUUGUUUCCCUGUCACCCAUAGAAUUAAAUACAAAUUACUUUGUCUGGCAUUCUAGAC